GAUGAACGCUGGCGGCGUGCCUAAUACAUGCAAGUCGAGCGAACAGACGAGGAGCUUGCUCCUCUGACGUUAGCGGCGGACGGGUGAGUAACACGUGGAUAACCUACCUAUAAGACUGGGAUAACUUCGGGAAACCGGAGCUAAUACCGGAUAAUAUAUUGAACCGCAUGGUUCAAUAGUGAAAGACGGUUUUGCUGUCACUUAUAGAUGGAUCCGCGCCGCAUUAGCUAGUUGGUAAGGUAACGGCUUACCAAGGCAACGAUGCGUAGCCGACCUGAGAGGGUGAUCGGCCACACUGGAACUGAGACACGGUCCAGACUCCUACGGGAGGCAGCAGUAGGGAAUCUUCCGCAAUGGGCGAAAGCCUGACGGAGCAACGCCGCGUGAGUGAUGAAGGUCUUCGGAUUGUAAAACUCUGUUAUUAGGGAAGAACAAAUGUGUAAGUAACUAUGCACGUCUUGACGGUACCUAAUCAGAAAGCCACGGAUAACUACGUG
Molecule: ribosomal RNA, 497 nt
Filed under: uncultured bacterium
Lineage: Bacteria
Description: partial 16S ribosomal RNA
Rfam family: Bacterial small subunit ribosomal RNA
Source: RNAcentral